This 390-nucleotide ribosomal RNA is filed under the name uncultured prokaryote. Its description in RNAcentral is "partial 16S ribosomal RNA". The record is from RNAcentral.
CCCUACGGGGUGCAGCAGGCCACUUCCUUGAGCGAAAUCCACCAGGAACGGCAUGGUGAGUGUCGCCCGCCCAUCCACGGCUUCGACGAUGCUCAGGUGCAACAGCCGCUCGAAAGGCGCACAGCUGAUCCAACGUUCCAUCUCGACCCGGUGCGGUCCCGUCGACCCUUUUUCUUCCCCCUCCGCAUUCACUGAUAUCGUCUCCAACGGUUCAGGCUCCUCGAUGAAUAAGUAUUUUAUUCCAGCACGAUAAAUGAUAUCAAACCCCUCGACAUACCCAACUGGCAUUUGAAAAAAGGAGCUGCACGUGCUGACCGUCAUUCUGCUCUACGUUGCCCUCGGUCUCAUUGCCGGAGUCCUUGCAGGACUGCUGGGAAUUGGCGGGGGAGC